RNAcentral lists this ribosomal RNA (253 nucleotides) under uncultured bacterium. Its description in RNAcentral is "partial 16S ribosomal RNA". It matches the Rfam family "Bacterial small subunit ribosomal RNA", at positions 524 to 776 of the family's 1533-position model. The record is from RNAcentral.
UACGGAGGGUGCAAGCGUUAAUCGGAUUUAUUGGGCGUAAAGGGCGCGUAGGCGGAAAUGAAAGUCAGAUGUGAAAGCCCGGGGCUUAACCCCGGAACAGCAUUUGAAACUUCAUUCCUUGAGGGUAGGCGGAGAAAAUAGAAUUCCACAAGUAGCGGUGAAAUGCGUAGAUAUGUGGAGGAAUACCAGUGGCGAAGGCGAUUUUCUAGCUUAUACCUGACGCUGAGGCGCGAAAGCAAGGGGAGAAAACAGG